GCCGCGCUUCAGCACCCGCAGAGCCGGACAGCGCCUGCUGCAUGGAGCUGCCCGCCGCGGCCGCGGACGCUGUCGGGAGUCCAGCCGCCGCCGCCCUCAUCUCUUUCCCCGGGGGCCCCGGGGAGCUGGAACUGGCGUUAGAGGAGGAGCUGGCGCUGCUGGCGGCCGGGGAACGGCCGUCCGACCCCGGGGAGCAUCCUCAGGCCGAGCCCGGGCCUUCGGCCGAGGGGCCGAACUGCAGCCGCCACCCGCUCAGGAUCCCGAGCUGCUGUCGGUGAUCCGGCAGAAGGAGAAGGAUCUGGUGCUGGCGGCCCGACUGGGCAAGGCGUUGCUCGAGAGGAACCAAGACAUGAGCCGGCAGUACGAGCAGAUGCACAAGGAGCUGACAGAUAAGCUGGAGCACUUAGAACAAGAGAAACAUGAACUAAGAAGACGAUUUGAGAACCGAGAAGGGGAGUGGGAAGGGCGCGUGUCCGAGCUGGAGAGUGACGUGAAACAGCUUCAGGAUGAGCUGGAGAGGCAGCAGGUUCAUUUACGGGAAGCAGAUCGAGAAAAGACACGGGCCGUCCAGGAAUUAUCAGAACAGAACCAAAGGUUAUUGGAUCAGCUCAGCAGGGCUUCAGAAGUUGAGAGACAACUCUCCAUGCAAGUCCACGCCCUCAGAGAAGACUUCCGUGCGAAAAACUCGUCAACCAACCAGCACAUCGUCCGCCUCGAAAGCCUUCAGGCUGAGCAGGUUCUGGAAAUCAAGAUGCUGUCGGAUCGGAAGCGGGAGCUGGAGCACCGUCUCAGCGCCACCUUAGAGGAGAAUGACCUGCUCCAAGGGACCGUGGAGGAGCUACAGGACCGGGUGCUGAUCUUGGAGAGGCAGGGCCAAGACAAAGACCUCCAGCUGCAUCAGAGCCAGCUGGAGCUGCAGGAGGCGCGGCUCUCCUACCGACAGCUGCAGGUGAAGGUGGAGGAGCUCACGGAGGAGAGGAGUCUGCAGAGCUCUGCCGCCACCAGCACAUCCCUCCUGUCUGAGAUCGAGCAGAGCAUGGAAGCCGAGGAGCUGGAGCAGGAGAGAGAGCAGCUGAGACUGCAGCUCUGGGAAGCCUACUGCCAGGUGCGCUAUCUCUGCUCGCACCUUCGAGGAAACGACAGCGCCGACUCGGCCGUCUCCACGGACUCCUCGAUGGACGAGUCUUCAGAAACCUCGUCUGCCAAGGACGUGCCGGCAGGCAGCCUGCGCACUGCCCUCAACGAGCUCAAGAGACUGAUACAGAGCAUCGUGGACGGCCUGGAGCCCACGAGCUCCCGGAGAAUUGACGAUGACUCCUUAGAAGAACAGAUAAGGCAGACCAGUGAGGAUUCAAGAGCUCUGCGCGAGCUCAUGGAGGGAGAGAGGGGUAAACUGAGGCAGAGCCUAGAAGAGCUGCAGCAGCUCCACAGCCAGGUGACAUUGCUGAGUGUGGAGAUGACUGCGCUGAAGGAGGAGAGAGACCGACUCAGAGUGACAUCUGAGGACCAGGAGCCAAAGGAGCAGCUUCAGAAGGCCAUCAGGGACCGGGACGAGGCCAUCGCAAAGAAGAACGCUGUGGAGCUGGAACUCGCCAAGUGCAAGAUGGACAUGAUGUCUCUGAACAGCCAGCUGCUGGAUGCCAUUCAGCAGAAACUGAACCUCUCGCAGCAGCUUGAGGCUUGGCAGUUUGCUUCCUCAGGGCUUUUCACUAUCUGGCUCCUUUGGUUUCUGAUCUAGUGGCCUUUCUCAGUUCCCGUAUCAACAGCUUUAGUUGUACACCCCUCCUGCCUUUGAGGAUGACAUGCACAGGGUCAUUGACCGGCAGCUGAUGGACACGCACCUGAAGGAACAGAGCCGGCCUGCUGCUGCCCUCUCCAGGGCCCACGGCUCGGGGCGUGGGGAUGAGCCCAGCACCGCUGAAGGCAAACGGCUCUUCUCAUUCUUCAGGAAAAUUUAAACUGGGAGGAGUCAGGCCAGCAAAGAUGGGUGCACUGGAGGCGACUGGAAAGGGGAUGCGGGCGGGGGCCCAGCGCACCAGGUUUGCAUGCCAGGCCCAGCGGCUGCGCUGCACCCCUGCACUGGGGCCCAGCCAUCCAGGAGUCCUGCCAAGCCUCUGAAGGCUGCCCUCAACAGGAGCCUUGUCCCCAGAGCCGCACCACACCCAGCGUGGGCUUCCCCAGGAUCCGCUGCUGUUGAGCAGGGCUCAGGCUGCCUCCAGAGCAGCCCCUUGACUGGGCUCUGCUGCUCAGACCCGACGGACCACAGCCCACCCCGCCUACCCCGCAGUUGCUCCGUGCCCAACCCCGGGCACCGCUGCCCUUCUGUUUCAGAAUACAGAAACAGGAGCAAUGGAGGCCCUUCUCUGCAUGCCUCAGGAGGCCCUUACUGCCCCCAGCUGGCCUGAGCUGCGGGGGCCCAGUCCCACAGGGCACCAUGCAGGCCUGAACCCCGUCGUCCCCCAGCCCCUGGCCCAGGGAGGAAGGGGAGGUGGCGGCCCCUCACCCGCGUGCAUGCACCUCCCCGCCAGGAGACCCAGCCCCCGGGGCCUGAUGGCUGGGGCUGCCCUCACGUUUGGCCAUGGUGGGCCCUGCCUGGGCUUGGCUGAGGUCAUCGCCUGAGCCUGGGAGAAAGAAAGGUCUUGCCCCUGGCCACCCCUGCCCUCCCCAGCCCCUCCAGUGCAGGCCUUCUUCCUCGGCAGGGCCUCAGCCCCCUCCCUGUCCUGGGGCCAGGGCUGGGAGGGGCCUCCUCCCCCAAUAGGCCCCUGCUCCCUCACACAAACAAGUUCUUGGUUCAGCGGAGCAAGGCCAGGCCACAGAAUGGCCCCAGAGGGGUCUGCGGUCAGCCAUUCCACCUCGAGGUCACCACUGGUACUAUGGGGUGGAUGCCUCCAGAUGCUGCCCGCCAGGGCCCCAGGAGGACGGCCCGGCGACCUGCUGCUCCUGCCCCUCCCUUGGCAGGCGUUUCACCUUCUCUGCCGAGGCCCCAACGCAGAGGUGCCCAGGCUGCGCCAGCCACAAGCUGCUUCACAAAGGCUCUCCUCCCCCUCCCACGGGCAAAGCACAGCAGGGAUCAGUGGCAAGAAUGUUCCUAUAGAUAUUAUGUACAGACCACAGGGCUGUAAUUUUGUACGUAGCGCUCAUGUAAAUACACGUAUGGAUUUUAUAAUAUACAUAUUAUAUAUGAAUCUAUAAAGGCAUAUUUUUAGAAAAACAGCACACCACUGCUUCUUUUGAAAAUAGUCUAAGAAUAAAAUGAAUUUCUACAGAG
Non-coding RNA from Vicugna pacos (alpaca), 3268 nucleotides. NCBI's taxonomy places the organism in Eukaryota, Metazoa, Chordata, Mammalia, Artiodactyla, Camelidae. The record is from RefSeq and is a predicted model, not a curated record.